Molecule: ribosomal RNA, 144 nt
Filed under: uncultured eukaryote
Lineage: Eukaryota
Description: partial 18S ribosomal RNA
Rfam family: Eukaryotic small subunit ribosomal RNA
Source: RNAcentral
UGGUGGAGUGAUUUGUCUGGUUAAUUCCGUUAACGAACGAGACCUCGACCUGCUAAAUAGUUCGGCGAAUCUUUUUGAUUCGUACGUUUGACUUCUUAGAGGGACUAUCGGUGGUUCAGCCGAUGGAAGUUCGAGGCAAUAACA